Molecule: long non-coding RNA, 1103 nt
Filed under: Fukomys damarensis (Damara mole-rat)
Lineage: Eukaryota; Metazoa; Chordata; Mammalia; Rodentia; Bathyergidae
Description: lncRNA (ENSFDAG00000028170.1)
Source: RNAcentral
AUGGUCUUAUCCAUGCCACAUUUCGGACGAUGUGACUUCAAGAGCCUCCCGUGGUACAACAGGAAUCUCUAUAACCACGUGCUGUCAGGCUCUGCGGCCACAGAGCGGCCGGCUUACGAUAUCUCCAUUAAAGUACACCGUUCGGAAACCAAAGACACAGGCAAUGUCCCAAGACUCGAAACACCUGAAAGUGCUGCAAAAAUGCAGAAAGUGUCAACCAUGAGACAAAUAUUCGAUUUGGCGAAACUUAGAACGAAAAGAUCGGCACUGGUCCCAGCUGAGGUGAAUGUCUGCCCACAGGAGUCCCUGAAACAGCUUUUAGCAAGUGUUCAAGCUUUCUACAGAUGGAGAGGUACGAACUGAGAUGAGACCUGUUGAGCCCUUCACCAUCUUCACCCCUUCUCUCUGAUUCAUCCGUAGGCUGUUCUCUGCCCCACAUUCACAGGGUCCCUCAGCUACAAAAGGUAUAAAAAUCAGCAGUGAAUCUAAGUGCAGUGAGCCAUCAGCAUGCACAACUAUGUUCAUAUCAGCUUGUGCCCUCAAAAUAAAGAGAUAUAGUCAGACACCGGAGACUGUCAUUUUCUAUAAAUGUAUUUACUGCAGAAAAAAACACAUUGCCAUUAAUCGCCCUCAAAAAAUUCCCUCACUUCAAACACACUUAUCCCGUUACUCUUGCCAUCCUCCGAAGAAACUCCUGGAAGUCCUCCUUCGUGAGCCUCUUUAGUUGCACUGUUGUAGCUGCCUCAAUGUCCUGAAUUGAUUCAAAGCAUUUACCUUUCAUAGUGAUUUUGACAGUGGGGAAACAUCAACAGUUGCCUGGUGCCAGAUCCAAGGAGUAAGGGAUGAGGACGCUCUGCCACGUUUUCAGGAGCCCGCCUUUCCUUCAGAUGGCACUCGGCAGCAGCGUUCACUGUGUUUUUAUCGCAUCUCAUAAAGACGCGCAUCCAAGCAGACUUCCAGAACCACUUCAGAAAGCGGCGAGGACCAUGGCAUAAGUGUGUUCCAGUAUCUUAAGCAAGGUUAAUGGUAGCAUAGCUUGUACUGCGAUCAAUUUCUAAAAAUUAAGUGUUCACUGUACAUUUUGAUCUCUCCUUGUAUCUGCG